RNAcentral lists this ribosomal RNA (307 nucleotides) under uncultured beta proteobacterium E20_pH4/5/UP. Its description in RNAcentral is "bacterial SSU rRNA". It matches the Rfam family "Bacterial small subunit ribosomal RNA", at positions 202 to 490 of the family's 1533-position model. Lineage: Bacteria; Pseudomonadati; Pseudomonadota; Betaproteobacteria. The record is from RNAcentral.
AAAAGCAGGGGAUCGCAAGACCUUGCGCUAAAGGAGCGGCCGAUGUCUGAUUAGCUAGUUGGUGGGGUAAAGGCUUACCAAGGCAACGAUCAGUAGUUGGUCUGAGAGGACGGCCAACCACACUGGGACUGAGACACGGCCCAGACUCCUACGGGAGGCAGCAGUGGGGAAUUUUGGACAAUGGGCGAAAGCCUGAUCCAGCCAUGCCGCGUGAGUGAAGAAGGCCUUCGGGUUGUAAAGCUCUUUUAGUCGGAAAGAAAGAGUUGCAAUGAAUAAUUGUGAUUUAUGACGGUACCGACAGAAAAAG